GGAUGGGUGCACGUGAAGUAGCAGUGGACGCUGGCAUGAGUGUCCUAGUGCCAGUGUGGUGCCUGCACAGAGAUGAUCAAUACUGGCCACACCCACAACACUUCCAGCCUGAGAGGUUCCUAGGUGAUGCCCGAGCACAAAUAGUACCCUACACGUACCUACCUUUCGGCGUGGGACCUCGCAGUUGUAUAGUAUACCAUAACAAUACACCAAAAGACGUGGAAUGAUAACGUACUGAAAUGCACAAAGCUGGUUGGGCAGACCACUGACUUAGACGAUCACAAUCCCCAACAUAAGCUUUAAGACCACAGCUGAAGAAAUGCCGUCAAAUCACCCCUCUCCCUCACUACAGUAUCAAUAUUUCCUGUUCAUUUCCAUUCAGGGAAGAAGUUUGCCAUCUUGGGAGUAAAGGCAGGUCUGUUGUUGCUGAUCUCUGGUCUGGAGGUGCAGCCAUGUCCACUGUCCCCUUAUCCACUGAUUCUCGACCCUCGAGUACUCACCUUGCAGCCCAAGGACGGUGUCUAUGUUAACCUGCAUCCAGUGAACUUAAAAGAAACUGUGAACAAAGAAAUGAUGCAGUAUCAUGCAUCAACACCAGAAGAUGAGAUUAUAAUGGAGGAUCUGAAGAGAUGGUAUACCCAAAAAGACGGAACCUGCCAGCAGUGAUCUUAUACUAGUAUAUGACGUAGCCGAAUAUAAAAAAAAAUAUUGUGCACUGGCGAAUUGCACUAUAAAAAUGUUAGAAUGUUAGAUUCAAAACUUAUCGUCUGCAAGAAACAAUAGUGCUGCAAUUUAACUCUACACGACUAUAAUAUAUACUUUCUCAUGUUAUAGAAAUAGUUUGUCCACUAACUUGGUGUGUGUCUGUGAGUUGUCAAGAGAGGGUAGGUGCCUUGAUUUAAAUGAACUGCUUUUGAUCCAAGGAAUUUGAGCUACCCCGACCUUUCCUUGGAUUGAAGCUGUUUUCUUUCCAUUCCCCAGGCAUUAUAUGGCGCCCUACGGAUUUGGUGCUUCACGAUGAAUGUAAUAUAGUAAAGUCAGGUUAAACAUUAUGCUUGGAACUCGAGAACUCUGUAGCUUGUAGGAUCCAAGAAAGUGCUUGCUAGAACAGCAUGAAUGAUCCAGAGUAGAGAGAAGGGAUGCAGUAUACUUGAUAUAUCUGCAACAUUUAUCAGUAACUUCCUAAUAUACACAAAGUAAAGUGAAUCAAGAGCAUACAUAACUGAGGUUACCGCUAGACCCCUGUGGCUGUCUUCAAGAAGGUGCUGGACAGGUACCUAAAGUCAGUACCUGACCAGCCGAGCUGUGGUUUGUACGUCAGUUUACGUACGGUCAAUAGUAACAGCCUGGUUGAUUAAUCCCUAGUCCACGAAGCCUGGUCACUGACCGGGCCGCGGGGGCGUUGACCCCCAAAACCCUCUCCUGCUUAAUUUCAACUCACAUUCAAAUUUCAUUUUUUUUAUGCAGUACAAAGAUAAUGUGGUUUAUAUGUAAUAAAACAUUGUGAGGCACAAAACAAAGUCACUAGUAUGCAACGCAUUUCCGGCAUUAAUUUGUUAUUAUUUUCAAAAAAUAAAAAGCAAAACUCAUCAUAGUUAUUCAGUGCUGGUCAACUUGCAGUAUUUUAUACCACUGGUCGUCUCCUGCGAAAGUAUGUGGGACAAAAAAAAAAAAAUAUUCACUAUAAUUUAUUCAAGAGGUGUCCUGCCUCUACUGAGACAUGACAACUCGACCUUUGAACUGAAACAUCUCCACUCGACCUUAAGACUUGAGUCCAGCUAACAGGGUUCUCAAGGAUCACUUCAGAAAUGUUAUCUUCUUACUCUUCAACAGAACAUCAAAUCCAUUUGUCUCCACUCUGAUCUAAGACAGCUUCUCCAACUCCUUCUGGACUGUCCCCUACUCCUUCGAUCAGUCCCAGAUUUAUGCACCUCUUGUCCCUAUUUUGACUCACGAAAUCGUAAUGACACGAUUGCAAACAGACCAUACCACGGGUGGGGUUUGAACCCGCGUGGCUAACGCGACGGUCUGGAGUUUUGAGACUCUCUGACCGCGGGUUCAGCCCCCCCACCUGUGGUAUGGUUUGUCCCUACUCUAUUCUGCUCCACUCUCUAUAUCCUCAAACCAUCUGAAAAAUCCCUCCUCCGCCUCUGAAUUGUACCUUUUGUAGCACCAUCUUUCACUAUCUGCGUUCAGGAUUCUCUGCAUAAUAUUCACGUUACACAUUGUGACCAGAUCUACCUGGAGUUCAUUACCUUCGUACCUUGUUCAGCUAUCAUAACUUUGUGGUCCAGUCCCUGGACCAAUUAUGUACCUCUGUAAUCUUUUAACUACCGCCCACAGGAUGGGUAUGGGCUGCAUAAUAAACAUAUUAAACUAACUAACAUUGCUGUCAAACAUAACAUCACUGCCCGCGGCCUCAUAUACAUAUGAAAGUGUUGACGUUGUAUUACUGGGUAUGAAGUGCAUAAUAAAGAUAAUAAACUAUUGCUGUAUUAAUGUAUUCUGGUACAUUCUUCUGUUUAUCUUCAUAUAUAAUAUUUUUCAGAGAUACCUCUACACCUCGCUUACCUUUUUCCUCUCAUCUGUUCUAUGGUUUACCUCGUCUUUGCUACAUUCUUCUUCCGACAUCUUCAUCACUAGAUACCUUAAUACAAUCACUUCCUUCAUAUUCCCUCCAAUCUGACAUUCAAUCUUUCAUCGUAGAGACUUUUUUUUUGGUGCUCUCAUCAUUUUUGCUCUUUACUAUACUCACUUUUAAUUUCCUUUUAUACAUCUUCCCAAAUUACUCCACCAACCUUCGAAAUUUCUCUUAAGAAUCUCCCCAAAAGUGUCAUCUGCAAAGAGAAAUUAUGAAAACCCACUUUGUAACAAAUUCAAUGUAUUUUAAUCUCACAUCUUCCCUAAUAACUCAAGCAUUUGUUUAUUACAAUAUUUAUAAUUAAAUUUUUAAAACCAUGGUGGCCAUCACACAGUCCUGUCGCAUCCUGGGACACUGACCUAAUUUGCCCGACAUGCUGAGCAUAACAAGGGGACUUUCUCUUUAGUAGUAUGUCAUUGUCAGCUAGGACUGUAUACCUUGUACAUGUACUUGUAGUAAAUAAAGAUAUUAUUAAUAU
Non-coding RNA from Cherax quadricarinatus, 3119 nucleotides. The record is from RefSeq and is a predicted model, not a curated record. NCBI's taxonomy places the organism in Eukaryota, Metazoa, Arthropoda, Malacostraca, Decapoda, Parastacidae.